UAAGGAAUAUUGGUCAAUGGACGCAAGUCUGAACCAGCCAUGCCGCGUGAAGGAUGAAUGCCCUCUGGGUUGUAAACUUCUUUUAUCUGGGACGAAACCCCUGUUUUCUAACGGGAUUGACGGUACCAGAGGAAUAAGCACCGGCUAACUCCGUGCCAGCAGCCGCGGUAAUACGGAGGGUGCAAGCGUUAUCCGGAUUCACUGGAUUUAAAGGGUGCGUAGGUGGGUUGGUAAGUCAGUGGUGAAAUCUCCGUGCUUAACAUGGAAACUGCCAUUGAUACUACUGAUCUUGAAUUUUCUGGAGGUAAGCGGAAUAUGUCAUGUAGCGGUGAAAUGCUUAGAUAUGACAUAGAACACCAAUUGCGAAGGCAGCUUACUACAGCGAUAUUGACACUGAUGCACGAAAGCGUGGGGAUCAAACAGGAUUAGAUACCCUGGUAGUCCACGCCCUAAACGAUGGAUACUCGACAUUUGCGAUACACAGUAAGCGU
RNAcentral lists this ribosomal RNA (491 nucleotides) under uncultured bacterium. RNAcentral's name for it is "bacterial SSU rRNA". It matches the Rfam family "Bacterial small subunit ribosomal RNA", at positions 355 to 846 of the family's 1533-position model. The record is from RNAcentral.